RNAcentral lists this ribosomal RNA (218 nucleotides) under uncultured Glomeromycotina. RNAcentral describes it as "partial small subunit ribosomal RNA". The stretch from base 46 to 218 matches the Rfam family "Eukaryotic small subunit ribosomal RNA", at positions 691 to 864 of the family's 1831-position model. The record is from RNAcentral. Lineage: Eukaryota; Fungi; Glomeromycota.
GGGUUUACCCAUUGGUCAGGCUUAAUUGUCUGCACUGGUGAGAUGAAUCUCUACCUUCUGAGGAACUUUCAUGCCAUUUAUUUGGUGUGAUGGGAAAUCAGGACUGUUACUUUGAAAAAAUUAGAGUGUUUAAAGCAGGCUAACGUCUGAAUACAUUAGCAUGGAAUAAUGAAAUAGGACGGACUGAUUCUAUUUCGUUGGUUUCUAGGAUCACCGUA